This 402-nucleotide unclassified non-coding RNA is filed under the name soil metagenome. RNAcentral describes it as "partial contains 5.8S ribosomal RNA, internal transcribed spacer 2, and large subunit ribosomal RNA". The stretch from base 1 to 121 matches the Rfam family "5.8S ribosomal RNA", at positions 35 to 154 of the family's 154-position model. The record is from RNAcentral.
GAUGAAGAACGUAGCGAAAUGCGAUAAGUAAUGUGAAUCGCAGAAUUCAGUGAAUCAUCGAAUCUUUGAACGCACCUUGCGCCCUUUGGCUAUUCCGAAGGGCAUGCCUGUUUGAGUAUCAUGAACACCUCAACUCUCAUGGCUUGCUGUGAUGAGCUUGGAAUUUGGGGGUCUUGUUGGCUUGUGAGCCAGCUCCUCCUAAAUGAAUUAGCUUGCCGGUGUUUGGUGGCAUCACAGGUGUGAUAACUAUCUACUCUUGUGGUUUCCCAUCAGGUAACCUCCAGUGAUGGAGGUUCGCUGGGGCUCAUAAAUGUCUCUCCUCAGUGAGGACAGAUUUUGACUGUUUGAUCUCAAAUCAGGUAGGACUACCCGCUGAACUUAAGCAUAUCAAUAAGCGGAGGA